Molecule: ribosomal RNA, 622 nt
Filed under: uncultured bacterium
Lineage: Bacteria
Description: bacterial SSU rRNA
Rfam family: Bacterial small subunit ribosomal RNA (bases 1-526)
Source: RNAcentral
CCUACGGGAGGCAGCAGUGGGGAAUAUUGGACAAUGGGCGAAAGCCUGAUCCAGCAAUGCCGCGUGAGUGAAGAAGGCCUUCGGGUUGUAAAGCUCUUUUACCCGGGAAGAUAAUGACUGUACCGGGAGAAUAAGCCCCGGCUAACUCCGUGCCAGCAGCCGCGGUAAUACGGAGGGGGCUAGCGUUGUUCGGAAUUACUGGGCGUAAAGCGUACGUAGGCGGCUUUGUAAGUCAGAGGUGAAAGCCCACGACUCAAUCGUGGAACUGCCUUUGAGACUGCUUCGCUUGAAGAUGGGAGAGGUUAGUGGAAUUCCGAGUGUAGAGGUGAAAUUCGUAGAUAUUCGGAAGAACACCAGUGGCGAAGGCGGCUAACUGGACCAUUCUUGACGCUGAGGUACGAAAGCGUGGGAGCAAACAGGAUUAGAUACCCUGGUAGUCCACGCCGUAAACGAUGAUAACUAGCUGUCGGGGCUCUUGGGUAGUCGUCGGUGGCGCGACGACGUACGACUAUUAAGUUAGUCCGUCCGUCGGGUAGGUACGGUCCGCGAACGGUUAAACGUAACGUAAACGGAAGUAGUACGGACGUAGAGACGUGACCGACGGACGACGACGAGGGAGAGG